GCCGGAGUGGUGGAAUUGGUAGACACAAGGGACUUAAAAUCCCUCGAUCUUCGGGUCGUGCCGGUUCAAGUCCGGCCUCUGGUACCA
Molecule: transfer RNA, 87 nt
Filed under: Candidatus Cloacimonadota bacterium
Lineage: Bacteria; Pseudomonadati; Candidatus Cloacimonadota
Also listed under: 1 other name
Description: Candidatus Cloacimonetes bacterium (marine metagenome) tRNA-Leu
Rfam family: tRNA
About the family: Transfer RNA (tRNA) molecules are approximately 80 nucleotides in length. Their secondary structure includes four short double-helical elements and three loops (D, anti-codon, and T loops).
Source: RNAcentral